Paramisgurnus dabryanus is the source of this 4783-nucleotide RNA transcript. RefSeq lists it as uncharacterized. Lineage: Eukaryota; Metazoa; Chordata; Actinopteri; Cypriniformes; Cobitidae. The record is from RefSeq and is a predicted model, not a curated record.
CUUACGCCUUCUAAUGUCUAAUAAUCUGUCCUCAUUUUUGUCCAAGAGAUUCAAUAAUAAUAUUGUACAUUUUAGUUCUUUUAAUUUUUAUAUUUAAUAAUGUUUAUGUUGUCAGGAACCGAUCACCAUCCACAUCAUCAGUCACUCCUCCCACUUGUUCCCUCUCUCCUGAAUUCUAAUCACUUACACCUGUGUCCCAUCACCAUAUCCAUUGAAAUAUCUCUAUGCUCCCUUCACUCCUUGUCUUGUCUCCUCAAAAAUGGACACCUAGACUCACCUGUACUACUCACCUUGGUUGAUUAUCCUCGUUUACUCUCAGAUCUCCUGCAAAAGAGACAUUGUUAUUCUACAGCUAAGUGCAUUCCAGAACUUCACAUAUCCAAUUUACUCACCUAUUAUUUCUCUGCUUCAGUGUGUGUUUCAAUAAAGUACUAUUAUACUUCCCUUCAGUCUACUUCCUGGCUCUGAAUGAGACAGAAGACCAGACCGAAGUAAUGCAAAACACAGUUUGUCUCGAGAGGACUUCGAUUCGCGAUCGCUUGGCGGAACUGGUCCAAGCGGUUCGACUGUCAUUACUGCCUUCUCCCCCUAUAAAUCCACCUUCUGUACCCGAAGACAUCUUACACUCUGCUCGCCAGCCUCUGCUUCCUCAAAACCCCGCUGCUUCGUCAGCUGCCAUUGCUAUUCCUAUUGCCCGUCCAGCGACAUUCACCGGUGAGGCAGAGGAUUGCAGCAUUUUUUUUUUGCUACAGGUAUCUCUACAUUUCCAAAGGCAAGCACAUCAGUUUUCUAAUGACUUGCCACAAGAGGCUUUUAUUAUCUCCCUACUCUCUGGUCGAGCUCUCCAAUGGGCACAAGCCCUCUGAAACUUGGACUGCCCCAUUAUAUUAUCCCUGUCUAGUUUUCUUCAGCACUUCAAGGAAGUAUUCGGCCAGACAUCUAGUUCAUCUAGUCUCUGGAAUAGGGCUGUGCGAUUUAGGGAAAAUAUCUAAUUGCGCUUUUUCUGGCAGGAAUUGCGAUUCGAUUUGUGAUUCAAUUUUUUAGCAGCUGCAACUUAAAAUAACAAGUUAAAAUAUUUAAAUGGGUAAAUAUUUGUAUGCAUGUUUGUUUUUUUGUAAACAAAGAACUGUAAUACUCAACUUUAUAACUAUCAAAAUAUUAAAUAGCUACAUUUUUUAAAUUAAUAUAAAAUUAAAAUUAAUUCAUUGUCAUGUCAUUUCAUUCAAGUGACAUUAGCAACCCAGUUAAAUGGUAUUUUAGUUUGUUUUAAAUAAGGAGCCGGGCUUGUAAGCUUUUUUGGGCGUGUGUGUGUAAAGUUUUAACGCAUCAUCCGUUUUGGGAGACGUGGGCGUGAAGUCUUGCGAUGCGGACUUGUGGAGACAGGCGUGAGUAUUUAAUAAGCAUAGAGACACAGGCUGCGCGUCAAGUUUGAACACCUUGUCUGUUGUGAAAGAGGCGCACGCAAAAAGUCCUGCAAUGCGGAACCAGGCACGAGUAUUUAACAAGCAUUGAGAGACACAGGCUGCGCGCAUGCUUUAAAUUGAAACCCCUCGUCAGUUUAGGAGAAUCGCUGUUUUGGUUGACGUUCCUCUCACAGAAAAAGCACAGCCAUACUUGCGCUCGCUCAAUUGGUUAGACUGUCACAAAGCCUCUUUGCAUAUUUCUCAAAUCGCAUCAUAUCGCAUCCUUUCGCGAUUUGCUAAUCGCAACGUUUCACAUCGCGAUUGCGGUUUGAUUUCAAUUAAUCGCCCAGCCCUACUCUGGAAUAAGAUCGCCCUUAUAACUGCCUUUCGUCAUGGUCUAAACUCUUACAUCUGUCAGCUCAUAGUAGUGUAUGACGAUAACAUUGGUCUAGAAAAUCUCAUCUAGAAAACCAUCUUCCUUUCUCAACGUCUGUCAGUCUGCGAGGAUGUUCCCACCUCUCCCUACAGCCCUCCAGCGUUCAACCUAUGCCAGUCGACUUCACACAUCUAUCAGCCUCUGAAUGCCAACGCUGCAUCCGAUUUAAGCUCCUUCUCUACAGUGGAGGAGACAAACAGACCGUUCAGUCCGUCCUCCUCGCCCAACGGGAGCUCCAUUCAUGUUCUCCCCAUCGUAGAAACCUUAAAAUGUACCACUGUUUACCUUCUAACCCCCCGUAUUUGUGUCCCAGUGAAAGCCCUCAUCAACUCAGGAUGUGCUGUUUUCAAUCCUGUUUAAUGCCCAUUCGGAAUCCCCCUCUUUUUGUUGUCCUUCAUCUUACAAAUCCAGUUCUGAACUUUCUCUCUGUUCCACGACCGUCGAGAGCCCUCCGGUCCAACACCAAGUGGGAAUACCCAAGGAAUACCGGGUGUUCCAGGAUAUGUUUAGUAAACAGUUAGCAACCAAACUUCCACCUCAUCGGCCAUGGGACUGUGCCAUCGACCUGCUUCCUGGAGCCACACUACCCAAGGGUCGUAUCUACCCUCUGUCCUUCCCGGAACAAAAGGCCAUGGAGGAGUAUGUGGAGGAGGCUUUGCAACAAUCGUUUAUUCGUCCAUCUACUUCCCCAGCAGCUUCCAGCUGCUUCUUCGUAGCAAAAAAGGAUGGUGGUCUGUGCAUCGAUUACAGACAGCUCAAUUACCAUAAAGUACAAUAUAGCUAUCGCCUUCCUCUGGUUCCUGCUGCGCUAGAACAACUGCGUGUGGCUCAUAUCUUAACUAAGCUGGACCUUGCCUAUAACCUGAUUCGUUUUCGCUGAGGUGACUAGUGAAGACGGCCUUCGUAACCCCCCCCAGGUCACUCUAAGUACCGGGUCAUGCCCUACGGACUCUCCAACUCACUAGCGGUCUUCCAAGGCUACAUGAACGAGGUACUCCAUCACUUCCUCAACAAGUGUGUAGUUGUCUACAUAAACAAUAUCCUCAUAUUUUCCACCUCCCUCUCUGAACAUCAUCAUAAUGUAACUCUAGUCCUGGAAAAAUUAAGAGAAUCAAUUGUACCUGAAGCUGGAAAAGUGCGAGUUCCAUACCACCACUGUACAAUUCCUCGGAUAUAUCAUCAAUCAACAUGGAGUUAAAAUGGACCAGAGGAAGGUAGAGACUAUUCACAACUGGCCCCUGCCUACUACGGUAAAGGAUCUGCAACGGUUUCUAAGGUUCGCCAACUUCUAUUGCAGGUUCAUUAAUAAUUAUAAUCUCAUCAGUGCUUCCCUUCACCUCUUCCUUAACUCUUUCACCGCCAUUGACGAGAUAUCUCGUCAAUUAAGAGAAAACGCUUCCCCGCCAAUGACGAGAUUUUCUGUCUUUCCGCAAUACCGCUAUUAUCCACCAGGUGGCGCCCUUCCGAAACUUUUUAAACCCGGAAUUAUUGCCCUAUGGCAAGCGGCUGCAUGUCCGUGUCUGUUUUAAAGAUCGCUCUGAAUGGGAUCUCUAUGAAAAGUCCGUCACAAAAAUGGAAUUCUCUGCUUUUUGCUCAAAAUGUGGUGUUUUUGCAGAAACCUUCCCAUAUUCAAAAGCUGAUUACAAAAGAACCACUGAAGGUAGGAUGAAACGGUUUUUUUUGUUUGAAAGCAGAGGGUCUGUUCUUUCAUUUGGUAUAUUGUAUGUUUAUAUAUUUAAAGAAGAAUAUUUUCUGGAAGGCAUUAAACUUUGGUGAAAAUCAGGAAAACGCUGGCGCUGGCUGGCAACUUUUAAAAAAAACGCUGGCGGUGAAAGAGUUAAAGGGGUUUACCAAGUCACUCAAAUUAAAUUAUUCACUGCCUUUACCACCUUCAGGAAGCCUUUUCGUCUGCACCUGUCCUCAUCCAUCCCAAUCCAGAUUUUCCAUACUUCAUUGAAGUGGACGCUUUAUCCACAGGGGUAGGAGCCAUUCUCUCCCAGCCGCAGGGGAAUCCUCCCAGACUCUCUCCGUGUGCCACUUUCUCCAGAAAACUGUCCCCGGUGGGGCGGAACUACGACAUAGGUAAUUCAGAUUUGCUCGCCAUCAAACUCGCCCUAGAAGAGUGGAAACAUUGGCUGGAGGGCUCUAAUCAUCCCUUUUGAAGUCUCACUGAUCACAGAAACCUUGAAUACCUUUGAGAUGCUAAAAGACUGAACUCACGCCACACCUGUUGGGCACUGUUCUUCACUCGAUUCCAUUUCACCGUCACCUACAGGCCGGGCAGUAAGAACCUCUGUUACGGCCCAGGUUUAGUAAUUUUUAUAUUGUCAAUUGUAACAAAUCUUUUGAAGUGUGUUGUGUGUCCUGGGCCUGUGUUUUGUUUUUCUCUCAGUCUGUUGUCUCUCACUCUACCUGCUCUCAGGCAAAAUCCCCAUCAGCUGCAGCUCGUUUGUGAGUGAGUUUGCAUCCUACCGAGGGAUUGAAAAGCACUUGCUGAAUGCUGGAGAGACGCACACUUCUCCCUGCCUCAGACUGAAUAUUGUUUGGUGGUUGAUUGUUUGCUUUAACUAAAAAGGGCGAAAAUGUAACACCUCAAAGCAGAUACCCUCUCACGUCUCCAUAAUUCAACUACUGUGGAUCUCCAACCUGAGACCAUUCUCCCUCCAGCAAUGUUCCUCAACCAGAUCGUCUGGGAUCUUGGAUUCCGCUCACUCUACUUCACGCUCUGGACAUCCAGGUAGCAAGCGCAGCCUCUUGCCCCUCAGUCAACGGUACUGGUGGCCAUCCAUCUCCCAGGACCUCUCCCGAUGUGAAGAGUGAAUCAUGUUGUGAUGGAGAAGUGACGUUCUCAACAUCAAAAGAGCAACAGACAGCACAAACUCUUUUCUGCAUCACCUGUGGAAAGACAUUCAGCUCACAGAGACGUUUAGAGAAACAUGAGAGA